UACGUAGGCAGCGAGCGUUGUUCGGAGUUACUGGGCGUAAAGGGUGUGUAGGCGGUCUUUUAAGUUUGGUGUGAAAUCUCCCGGCUUAACCGGGAGGGUGCGCCGAAUACUGAGGGACUAGAGUGCGGGAGAGGAAAGUGGAAUUCCUGGUGUAGCGGUGAAAUGCGUAGAUAUCGGGAAGAACACCCGUGGCGAAGGCGGCUCUCUGGGACGGUACUGACGCUGAGACGCGAAAGCGUGGGGAGCGAACAGG
RNAcentral lists this ribosomal RNA (253 nucleotides) under uncultured bacterium. RNAcentral describes it as "partial 16S ribosomal RNA". It matches the Rfam family "Bacterial small subunit ribosomal RNA", at positions 524 to 776 of the family's 1533-position model. The record is from RNAcentral.